GAGUUUGAUCCUGGCUCAGGAUGAACGCUGGCGGCGUGCUUAACACAUGCAAGUCGAACGAAGCACUCUAUUCGAUUUCUUCGGAAUGAAAAUUUUGUGACUGAGUGGCGGACGGGUGAGUAACGCGUGGGCAACCUGCCUCAUACAGGGGGAUAACAGUUGGAAACGACUGCUAAUACCGCAUAAGCGCACAGUACCGCAUGGUACAGUGUGAAAAACUCCGGUGGUAUGAGAUGGGCCCGCGUCUGAUUAGCCAGUUGGCGGGGUAACGGCCCACCAAAGCGACGAUCAGUAGCCGACCUGAGAGGGUGACCGGCCACAUUGGGACUGAGACACGGCCCAAACUCCUACGGGAGGCAGCAGUGGGGAAUAUUGCACAAUGGGGGAAACCCUGAUGCAGCGACGCCGCGUGAGCGAAGAAGUAUUUCGGUAUGUAAAGCUCUAUCAGCAGGGAAGAAGAAUGACGGUACCUGACUAAGAAGCACCGGCUAAAUACGUGCCAGCAGCCGCGGUAAUACGUAUGGUGCAAGCGUUAUCCGGAUUUACUGGGUGUAAAGGGAGCGCAGGCGGAAGGCUAAGUCUGAUGUGAAAGCCCGGGGCUCAACCCCGGUACUGCAUUGGAAACUGGUCAUCUAGAGUGUCGGAGGGGUAAGUGGAAUUCCUAGUGUAGCGGUGAAAUGCGUAGAUAUUAGGAGGAACACCAGUGGCGAAGGCGGCUUACUGGACGAUUACUGACGCUGAGGCUCGAAAGCGUGGGGAGCAAACAGGAUUAGAUACCCUGGUAGUCCACGCCGUAGACG
RNAcentral lists this ribosomal RNA (800 nucleotides) under uncultured bacterium. RNAcentral's name for it is "bacterial SSU rRNA". It matches the Rfam family "Bacterial small subunit ribosomal RNA", at positions 9 to 808 of the family's 1533-position model. The record is from RNAcentral.